AACGCACCUUGCGCUCCUUGGUAUUCCGAGGAGCAUGCCUGUUUGAGUGUCAUUAAAUUCUCAACCUUUCUAGUUUUUAUUAACUAGUCAGGCUUGGAUGUGGGGGUUGCGGGCUUCUCAGAAGUCGGCUCUCCUUAAAUGCAUUAGUGAAACCUUUGGUUGACUAUCUCUGGUGUGAUAAUUAUCUACGCCGCUGAGAAUCUUCCUUUAUUAUGGGGUUUUGCUUCUAACCGUCUUCUCUGAAGACAACUUUUGACAUUUUGACCUCAAAUCAGGUAGGACUACCCGCUGAACUUAA
Molecule: unclassified non-coding RNA, 298 nt
Filed under: uncultured fungus
Lineage: Eukaryota; Fungi
Description: sequence contains ITS2
Rfam family: 5.8S ribosomal RNA (bases 1-52)
Source: RNAcentral